RNAcentral lists this ribosomal RNA (440 nucleotides) under uncultured bacterium. RNAcentral's name for it is "partial 16S ribosomal RNA". It matches the Rfam family "Bacterial small subunit ribosomal RNA", at positions 338 to 795 of the family's 1533-position model. The record is from RNAcentral.
CCUACGGGAGGCAGCAGUAGGGAAUAUUGCUCAAUGGGGGAAACCCUGAAGCAGCAACGCCGCGUGGAGGAUGAAGGUUUUCGGAUUGUUAACUCCUUUUGUUAGAGAAGAUAAUGACGGUAUCUAACGAAUAAGCACCGGCUAACUCCGUGCCAGCAGCCGCGGUAAUACGGCGGGUGCAAGCGUUACUCGGAAUCACUGGGCGUAAAGAGCGCGUAUGCGGGAUAGCAAGUCAGAUGUGAAAUCCUAUGGCUUAAACCUAGAACUGCAGUUGAAACUGGUAUUCUAGAGUAUGGGAGAGGUAGGCGGAAUUCGUGGUGUAGGGGUAAAAUGCGUAGAGAUCAAGAGGAAUACUGAUUGCGAAGGCGACCUGCUAGAACAUAACUGACGCUGAUGCGCGAAAGCGUGGGGAGCAAACAGGAUUAGAUACCCGAGUAGUC